UGUAUACUAAUACGAGAAGCUUAUAUAUGGUCAUAAUAAGGAUGACCGUCUCUACCCAACACCGUAAAUGUUGGUCUAUAAGUGAAGAAGUGUCUUAG
Molecule: non-coding RNA, 98 nt
Filed under: Enterococcus sp.
Lineage: Bacteria; Bacillati; Bacillota; Bacilli; Lactobacillales; Enterococcaceae
Description: Guanine sequence
Rfam family: Purine riboswitch aptamer
About the family: Riboswitches are metabolite binding domains within certain messenger RNAs that serve as precision sensors for their corresponding targets. Allosteric rearrangement of mRNA structure is mediated by ligand binding, and this results in modulation of gene expression.
Source: RNAcentral